This 78-nucleotide transfer RNA is filed under the name Rosa chinensis. Its description in RNAcentral is "sRNA RchiOBHm_Chr2g0101701". It matches the Rfam family "tRNA". From Rfam's summary of the family: Transfer RNA (tRNA) molecules are approximately 80 nucleotides in length. Their secondary structure includes four short double-helical elements and three loops (D, anti-codon, and T loops). The record is from Rfam by way of RNAcentral. Lineage: Eukaryota; Viridiplantae; Streptophyta; Magnoliopsida; Rosales; Rosaceae.
AGAUCUGUAAGCUCAAAACGGUUGAGCGUCUGAGCCCUUGUGGUUUGGAUAUUGGUGGUUCGAAUCCACCCAGAUCUA